Molecule: RNA transcript, 2330 nt
Organism: Nomascus leucogenys (northern white-cheeked gibbon)
Lineage: Eukaryota; Metazoa; Chordata; Mammalia; Primates; Hylobatidae
Gene: PRKCSH
Gene name: protein kinase C substrate 80K-H
Exons: 19
Source: RefSeq, a predicted model, not a curated record
GAGGUACUCCAAGAUGGAGCAGGGACCGUGGCUGCUGGACAAGAGGGGUGCGGUGGAUACUGACCUUUGCUCCGGCCUCGUCGUGAAGACACAGCGCAUCUCCCCGCCGUCGGCUUCCUCCCACAGGACCCGUUUCGGGCCUCAGAGCGUCUGGUGAGAUGCUGCUGCCGCUGCUUCUGCUGCUACCCAUGUGCUGGGCCGUGGAGGUCAAGAGGCCCCGGGGCGUCUCCCUCACCAAUCAUCACUUCUACGAUGAGUCCAAGCCUUUCACCUGCCUGGACGGUUCGGCCACCAUCCCAUUUGAUCAGGUCAACGAUGACUAUUGCGACUGCAAAGAUGGCUCUGACGAGCCAGGCACGGCUGCCUGUCCUAAUGGCAGCUUCCACUGCACCAACACUGGCUAUAAGCCCCUGUAUAUCCCCUCCAACCGGGUCAACGAUGGUGUUUGUGACUGCUGCGAUGGAACAGACGAGUACAACAGCGGUGUCAUCUGUGAGAACACCUGCAAAGAGAAGGGCCGUAAGGAGAGAGAGUCCCUGCAACAGAUGGCCGAGGUCACCCGCGAAGGGUUCCGUCUGAAGAAGAUCCUUAUUGAGGACUGGAAGAAGGCACGGGAGGAGAAGCAGAAAAAGCUCACUGAGCUACAGGCUGGGAAGAAGUCUCUGGAAGACCAGGUGGAGAUGCUGCGGACAGUGAAGGAGGAAGCCGAGAAGCCAGAGAGAGAGGCCAAAGAGCAGCACCAGAAGCUGUGGGAAGAGCAGCUGGCUGCCGCCAAGGCCCAACGGGAGCAGGAGCUGGCAGCUGAUGCCUUCAAGGAGCUGGAUGACGACAUGGACGGGACGGUCUCAGUGACUGAGCUGCAGACUCACCCGGAGCUGGACACAGAUGGGGAUGGGGCGUUAUCAGAAGCGGAAGCUCAGGACCUCCUCAGUGGGGACACACAGACAGACGCCACCUCUUUCUACGACCGCGUCUGGGCCGCCAUCAGGGACAAGUACCAGUCCGAGGCACUGCCCACCGACCUUGCAGCACCUUCUGCCCCUGACUUGACGGAGCCCAAGGAGGAGCAGCCGCCAGUGCCCUCGCCGCCCACAGAGGAGGAGGAGGAGGAGGAGGAAGAGGAGGUUGAAGAAGAGGAGGAGGAGGAGGAUUCCGAGGUGCAGGGGGAGCAGCCCAAGCUGGCCAGCCCUGCCGAGGAAGACAAAAUGCCACCCUACGAUGAGCAGACGCAGGCCUUCAUCGAUGCUGCCCAGGAGGCCCGCAGCAAGUUCGAGGAGGCCGAGCGGUCGCUGAAGGACAUGGAGGAGUCCCUCAGGAACCUGGAGCAAGAGAUUUCUUUUGACUUUGGCCCCAACGGAGAGUUUGCUUACCUGUACAGCCAGUGCUAUGAGCUCACCACCAAUGAAUACAUCUACCGCCUCUGCCCUUUCAAGCUUGUCUCGCAGAAACCCAAACUCGGGGGCUCUCCCACCAGCCUCGGCACCUGGGGCUCAUGGGCUGGCCCCGACCACGACAAGUUCAGUGCCAUGAAGUAUGAGCAAGGCACGGGCUGCUGGCAGGGCCCCAACCGCUCCACCACCGUGCGCCUCCUGUGCGGGAAAGAGACCAUGGUGACCAGCACCACAGAGCCCAGUCGCUGCGAGUACCUCAUGGAGCUGAUGACGCCGGCCGCCUGCCCGGAGCCCCCGCCUGAAGCACCCACCGAAGACGACCAUGAUGAGCUCUAGCUGGAUGGGCACAGAGGUGGGUGGGGAGGUACAGUCUCCGCCUGCCCCAGCAAGGGGAGGCAGCGGGCCCUGAGGAGGAUGGACCCACAUGGCCACUCUAUCAACCUGGGUCCCCGUGUUCCCUUCCUUUUUUUUUUUUUUUUUUUUUUUUUUUUUGAGGUGGAGUCUCACUCUUUGGCCCAGGCUGGAGUGCAGUGAUGUGACCUCAGCUGUCUGCAACCUCCACCUCCCGGGUUCAAAGGAUUCUCCUGUCUCAGCCUCCCAAGUGGCUGGGAUUACAGAACCUCAAGAAGGCAUGAAGCCAGCCCCUGCAGUGCCGUCCACCUGCCCCUCUGGGCCUGCCUGUGGCUCUGUUGCCCUCCUCUGUGGCGGCAGGACCUUUGUGGGGCUUCGUGCCCUGCUCUGGGGCCCAGGUGGGGCUGGUCCACAUUCCCAGGCCCCAGCAGCCUCCAAAGAUGGGUAAACGAGCUUGCCCUCCCUGGGCCCCCACCUUGGUGACUCGCCCCACCACCCCUAGCCCUGUCCCUGCCACCCCUCCUAGUGGGGAGUAGUGAAUGACUUGACCUGUGACCUCAAUACAAUAAAUGUGAUCCCCCAACCAAA